This 947-nucleotide ribosomal RNA is filed under the name Vibrio azureus. RNAcentral's name for it is "bacterial SSU rRNA". It matches the Rfam family "Bacterial small subunit ribosomal RNA", at positions 43 to 980 of the family's 1533-position model. The record is from RNAcentral. Lineage: Bacteria; Pseudomonadati; Pseudomonadota; Gammaproteobacteria; Vibrionales; Vibrionaceae.
UNNNNCNGCUACACAUGCAGUCGAGCGGAACGAGUUAUCUGAACCUUCGGGGAACGAUAACGGCGUCGAGCGGCGGACGGGUGAGUAAUGCCUAGGAAAUUGCCCUGAUGUGGGGGAUAACCAUUGGAAACGAUGGCUAAUACCGCAUGAUGCCUACGGGCCAAAGAGGGGGACCUUCGGGCCUCUCGCGUCAGGAUAUGCCUAGGUGGGAUUAGCUAGUUGGUGAGGUAAGGGCUCACCAAGGCGACGAUCCCUAGCUGGUCUGAGAGGAUGAUCAGCCACACUGGAACUGAGACACGGUCCAGACUCCUACGGGAGGCAGCAGUGGGGAAUAUUGCACAAUGGGCGCAAGCCUGAUGCAGCCAUGCCGCGUGUAUGAAGAAGGCCUUCGGGUUGUAAAGUACUUUCAGUCGUGAGGAAGGUGGCGUCGUUAAUAGCUGCGUUGUUUGACGUUAGCGACAGAAGAAGCACCGGCUAACUCCGUGCCAGCAGCCGCGGUAAUACGGAGGGUGCGAGCGUUAAUCGGAAUUACUGGGCGUAAAGCGCAUGCAGGUGGUUUGUUAAGUCAGAUGUGAAAGCCCGGGGCUCAACCUCGGAAUAGCAUUUGAAACUGGCAGACUAGAGUACUGUAGAGGGGGGUAGAAUUUCAGGUGUAGCGGUGAAAUGCGUAGAGAUCUGAAGGAAUACCGGUGGCGAAGGCGGCCCCCUGGACAGAUACUGACACUCAGAUGCGAAAGCGUGGGGAGCAAACAGGAUUAGAUACCCUGGUAGUCCACGCCGUAAACGAUGUCUACUUGGAGGUUGUGGCCUUGAGCCGUGGCUUUCGGAGCUAACGCGUUAAGUAGACCGCCUGGGGAGUACGGUCGCAGAUUAAACUCAAUGAAUUGACGGGGCCCGCACAGCGGUGAGCAUGUGGUUUNNCGAUGCACGCGAGAUCUUACUACUCU